UCUAGUAAUGAUGGCAAAGAGGUCACACCUGUUCCCAUGUCGAACACAGAAGUUAAGCUCUUUAGCGCCAAUGGUAGUUGGGGGCUGUCCCCCUGCGAGAGUAGGACGUUGCUAGGC
RNAcentral lists this ribosomal RNA (117 nucleotides) under Rummeliibacillus sp. POC4. The record is from RNAcentral. Lineage: Bacteria; Bacillati; Bacillota; Bacilli; Caryophanales; Caryophanaceae.